RNAcentral lists this ribosomal RNA (301 nucleotides) under uncultured bacterium. RNAcentral describes it as "partial 16S ribosomal RNA". It matches the Rfam family "Bacterial small subunit ribosomal RNA", at positions 509 to 808 of the family's 1533-position model. The record is from RNAcentral.
CAGUCGCCACGGUAAUACGAAGGUCCCGAGCGUUGUUCGGAAUCACUGGGCGUAAAGGGAGCGUAGGCGGCGUGGUAAGUCAGAUGUGAAAUCCCGGGGCUCAACCCCGGAACUGCAUCCGAUACUGCCAUGCUAGAGGAUUGGAGAGGUAGCUGGAAUUCUUGGUGUAGCAGUGAAAUGCGUGGAGAUCAAGAGGAACACUCGUGGCGAAAGCGAGCUACUGGACAAUAACUGACGCUGAGGCUCGAAGGCCAGGGUAGCGAAAGGGAUUAGAUACCCGCGUAGUCCCUGUCUCUUUACA